CUGGCUCAGGACGAACGCUGGCGGCACGCUUAACACAUGCAAGUCGAACGGAGAAUAUUUGAGUUUACUUAGAUAUUCUUAGUGGCGGACGGGUGAGUAACACGUGAGCAACCUACCUUAGA
This 122-nucleotide ribosomal RNA is filed under the name Ruminococcus flavefaciens. RNAcentral describes it as "16S rRNA. Bacterial SSU". It matches the Rfam family "Bacterial small subunit ribosomal RNA", at positions 19 to 135 of the family's 1533-position model. Lineage: Bacteria; Bacillati; Bacillota; Clostridia; Eubacteriales; Oscillospiraceae. The record is from RNAcentral.